Molecule: ribosomal RNA, 400 nt
Filed under: uncultured bacterium
Lineage: Bacteria
Description: bacterial SSU rRNA
Rfam family: Bacterial small subunit ribosomal RNA
Source: RNAcentral
UGGGGAAUUUUGCGCAAUGGGGGAAACCCUGACGCAGCAAUGCCGCGUGGAGGAUGAAGUACUUCGGUACGUAAACUCCUUUCGAUCGGGACGAUAAUGACGGUACCGAGAGAAGAAGCCCCGGCUAACUUCGUGCCAGCAGCCGCGGUAAUACGAGGGGGGCGAGCGUUGUUCGGAAUUAUUGGGCGUAAAGGGUGCGUAGGCGGUUUGGUAAGUUUCGUGUGAAAUCUCUGGGCUCAACUCAGAGUCUGCACGAAAAACUGCCGGGCUUGAGUAUGGGAGAGGUGAGUGGAAUUCCUGGUGUAGCGGUGAAAUGCGUAGAUAUCAGGAGGAACACCUGUGGCGAAAGCGGCUCACUGGACCAUCACUGACGCUGAUGCACGAAAGCUAGGGGAGCAAA